This 329-nucleotide unclassified non-coding RNA is filed under the name soil metagenome. Its description in RNAcentral is "partial contains 5.8S ribosomal RNA, internal transcribed spacer 2, and large subunit ribosomal RNA". The stretch from base 1 to 120 matches the Rfam family "5.8S ribosomal RNA", at positions 35 to 154 of the family's 154-position model. The record is from RNAcentral.
GAUGAAGAACACAGCGAAAUGCGAUAAGUAAUGUGAAUUGCAGAAUUCAGUGAAUCAUCGAAUCUUUGAACGCACAUUGCGCCCCCUGGUAUUCCGGGGGGCAUGCCUGUUCGAGCGUCAUUUCACCACUCAAGCCUCGCUUGGUAUUGGGCAACGCGGUCCGCCGCGUGCCUCAAAUCGACCGGCUGGGUCUUCUGUCCCCUAAGCGUUGUGGAAACUUUCGCUAAAGGGUGUUCGGGAGGCUACGCCGUAAAACAACCCCAUUUCUAAGGUUGACCUCGGAUCAGGUAGGGAUACCCGCUGAACUUAAGCAUAUCAAUAAGCGGAGG